Molecule: long non-coding RNA, 2219 nt
Organism: Rhopalosiphum padi (bird cherry-oat aphid)
Lineage: Eukaryota; Metazoa; Arthropoda; Insecta; Hemiptera; Aphididae
Exons: 5
Source: RefSeq, a predicted model, not a curated record
UCUAAUGAUUAUAGCGAUCCAAUAGAUAAGAAUACGUGCAUUUUCAUUGAUACCAGUGAUUGAUAACGUAAUAAUGGGUAAUAAACUUAAUAACACAGCAUUUUGUUGUAGUGGUAAUACUGUAGACAAUUGAUUAUUAUUCAAAUUUCAAAAACAACAUCAUUCUAAAAUUCUAAAAUAGGUAUAAAUGUAUAAUAAGGUACUUUCUUAUAUUAUUAUUUAUUAUUGUUCAUUAAAAUAUUGACUAUUGAGUACUUUUACUCUAGUAUAAUAUAAUAUUGUCGUGAAUCUAGUCUCCGUGCAUGAUUCUAUAACAGAUUAUCAAGAUUUUCAAGGAAGAAAAUAAUACGUAUCGAUACGUAUCGGGUCAAUUUUGAGCGUUCAAGAAGUUACACGUGAAAUAUACUAGCGAUACGUACCGACUCGUAUCGGACUCAGACUUCGAUACGAGGCGGUACGUAACUAUUCUCUGUCGUCCUGUCGAUACGUAACGCAUUUUUCUUCUUGAAAACCUUGUAUAUUUCCGUCUGUUCUGUAUUUUGUCUACAUCGUUAUUAUAUCUGUCCGCAACUCUAAUCGACAAUAUUAUUAAUUUUCGUCUACGCAUAGUCGAUACUCCAAAUAAUUGGUUUAAAAAUUGAAAACGGUUUAUUAAUCAUCGUUAUAAAUUUAAAAAAAUGAUACUUUAAACAAUGAUUUGUCAUCAUAUUAUGUUGUAUUCACUAUUCAGUAUUAUGAUACUUAUUACUUAAUGACUUGCAUCUGUUCUACGUUUCUAUGUGGUGUACGGUUAUUGCAUUUUUUACUACACAAUAAUUAUUAAACUUACUAACUAUUUUCAAGUUUACAACUAGCUAUGGUUUAAAUUGUAUCAAGAGUUCCAAUGAAUGUUUUCGUUUACGUUCAAAAUUAUGUACAAUUAUGAUUUUGAAUAUAUAUUGGACGAUGUUAUAUAAUAGUAUAGUAUAUGUAUGGGAAACAGUGUAGUGCGGCACUAUAUCUAAUCGGAAGAGGUUGAAGAAUGAGAACGACAACGAUCUAAAAGUUGAUGUAGAUUGCAUAGCUUGAAUCUAAAGGAUUAAACAGUUCUGAUGUAGAUCUAAAGAACAGUUGUCAGAUUUGUGAUGUGAUUUUUAUGUUUUUAUGUAUGUUCCAUGUCUUGAACAUAGAAGCCACAACUCUUACACAAACAUAUUUUGUAUGCAAUAAGAGGAAUUAUAUGGCAUCCAACCAGUAACUGGUCAAUUUUACUAAGUUGAAAUAGUUGAAUUAAUCCAAACAUUGUGGAUGAGCGGGUUACAGUCAAUAAAUGCAUAUUAGUUAAUCAUAAUCAAUUUGUCAAUAUUAAUUAAUUUAUAUUUUCUUGAAAUCUUCAAAUAUUUUCAACCACUAAAUCUUUAAUUUGAUAUUCAUAUCUAUGUUUCUCUCUGAUAAAGCUUAACAUAGGUUCUAAGUGCAGACUAAGAUAUAGUCCUAAGUUAUUUGCUAUACUAUUUAUUCUGCUUUAAAAAAAAAGUAUACUGUACAAUUGCAUAAAAAACAAUAUUUUCAGGUUUCUUGCAUAUUAUAUAUUGUAUUUUAAAGAAUUUAUGAAAAUAUUUAAAAAAAUAUUUUAUGGUAUAUUAUAAUAAUAAUAUUUUUUCCAAAACCAUCCUGUAGCACCAAUAGAUAUGUACCUGCCAGCAUUAGUUGAAUAUUAAAACAAUUAAAAAUUGUGGGCUUGUUGCAAAACUUCAGAUUAAAAAAAGCAAAAUUGAUUGAUAUCUGUCCACGCUAGAAGAGAGAGGAAUGUAAUUAUUUCAUGAUACAUGCAUAAAAAUCAAAAUAUAUUAUGCUCAAUGUGGUGUUGAAAAGCAACAGAUGAAAUAUUUGUCAUUCUUAAUUAAAAACGAAUAAACCAAAGACUGAUUCAUAAAAAUAGGAUCAACCAGUCAAUUCUGUGUGCAAGUUGGCCAUAGACAACUUUAUGGUAAAUAUAAUAGUUAAGAUGAAAAGUACUACUUAAUAAAGUACCUACUUGAAAAAAAUUUUCAUACUAUUUUUAUUAUCUUUCCUGUCUUUUAUACUAUUAGUUUGAAAUAUAUUUUUUUUAAGUAAGAGUUAAUUGAAAAAGGAAAUUUCUGAUGUAUAAGUAUAUUCUAUAAUAUUUUAAAUAUUUUUAAAUAUUUUAUAUGUAUAGUUACUAUACAUACUAUACUAUAGUAUUUGGUGUAUAAUAA